RNAcentral lists this ribosomal RNA (248 nucleotides) under uncultured bacterium. Its description in RNAcentral is "partial 16S ribosomal RNA". It matches the Rfam family "Bacterial small subunit ribosomal RNA", at positions 57 to 305 of the family's 1533-position model. The record is from RNAcentral.
GCAAGUCGAACGGAAAUAAAGGAGCUUGCUCCUUUAAAUUAGUGGCGAACGGGUGAGUAACACGUGGGCAACCUGCCCCUGACUCUGGGAUAACUACUCGAAAGAGUAGCUAAUACCGGAUAUGAAACCUGAAGACAUCUUCGGGUUUGGAAAGUUUUUCGGUCAGGGAUGGGCCCGCGGCCUAUCAGCUAGUUGGUGAGGUAUGGCUUACCAAGGCGACGAUCGGUAGCUGGUCUGAGAGGGUGACC